CUUUGGUGGCGACCGGCGCACGGGUGCGUAACGCGUAUGCAACCUACCUUUAACAGGGGCAUAACACUGAGAAAUUGGUACUAAUUCCCCAUAACAUUCGAGAAGGCAUCUUCUUGGGUUAAAAACUCCGGUGGUUAAAGAUGGGCAUGCGUUGUAUUAGCUAGUUGGUGAGGUAACGGCUCACCAAGGCAACGAUACAUAGGGGGACUGAGAGGUCAACCCCCCACAUUGGUACUGAGACACGGACCAA
Molecule: ribosomal RNA, 250 nt
Filed under: uncultured bacterium
Lineage: Bacteria
Description: partial 16S ribosomal RNA
Rfam family: Bacterial small subunit ribosomal RNA
Source: RNAcentral